CAAAAGAUAAUUUAAUAAAAAAAUGCUGACUUUGGGGGCCAGCUUUGGUUUGAACAACCUCUUUUGA
This 67-nucleotide transfer RNA is filed under the name Xenagama taylori. RNAcentral describes it as "tRNA-Pro". The record is from RNAcentral. Lineage: Eukaryota; Metazoa; Chordata; Lepidosauria; Squamata; Agamidae.